AACGCUGGCGGCGUGCUACCCUACAUGCAAGUCGAACGAGUUUGCUUUUAAUGAAAGGCGGUGCUUGCACCAACUGAUUUAAAAAUAAACGUAGAUGUGCGGACGGGUGAGCUAACACGUGGGUAACCUACCCAUAAAGUGGGGGCAUAACAUUUGGAAACAGAUGCUAAUACCGCAUCAAUAUCUAAAAACCACAUGGUCUUCUUAAUUGAAAGCACCGGCGUAAGCUGUCACUUUUGGAUGGACCCGCGGCGUAUUAGCUAGCUUGGUGAGGUAACGGCUCACCAAGGACUCGCGAUAGCAGUAUGCCGACCUGAGAGGGUAGACUCAGGACCACACUGGGACUGAGACACGGACCCAGACUCCUACGGGACGUGCCGCCCGAUAGGGAAUCUUCGUGCAACUGGACGAAAGUCUGACCGAGCAACGCCGCGUGAGUCCCACGAAGGUUUUCGGAUCGUAAAACUCUGUUGUUAGAAGAAGAAC
RNAcentral lists this ribosomal RNA (486 nucleotides) under uncultured bacterium. RNAcentral describes it as "bacterial SSU rRNA". It matches the Rfam family "Bacterial small subunit ribosomal RNA", at positions 32 to 450 of the family's 1533-position model. The record is from RNAcentral.